Molecule: ribosomal RNA, 478 nt
Filed under: uncultured bacterium
Lineage: Bacteria
Description: partial 16S ribosomal RNA
Rfam family: Bacterial small subunit ribosomal RNA
Source: RNAcentral
GACGAACGCUGGCGGCGUGCUUAACACAUGCAAGUCGAACGGUAAGGCCCUUCGGGGUACACGAGUGGCGAACGGGUGAGUAACACGUGGGUGAUCUGCCCUGCACUUCGGGAUAAGCCUGGGAAACUGGGUCUAAUACCGGAUAGGACCCUGGGAUGCAUGUCCUGGGGUGGAAAGCUUUUGCGGUGUGGGAUGGGCCCGCGGCCUAUCAGCUUGUUGGUGGGGUGAUGGCCUACCAAGGCGACGACGGGUAGCCGGCCUGAGAGGGUGACCGGCCACACUGGGGCUGAGAUACGGCCCAGACUCCUACGGGAGGCAGCAGUGGGGAAUAUUGCACAAUGGGCGCAAGCCUGAUGCAGCGACGCCGCGUGAGGGAUGACGGCCUUCGGGUUGUAAACCUCUUUCAGCACCGACGAAGCGCAAGUGACAGUAGGUGCAGAAGAAGGACCGGCCAACUACGUGCCAGCAGCCGCAGUAA